AUUGAACGCUGGCGGCAUGCCUUACACAUGCAAGUCGAACGGCAGCACGGGAGCAAUCCUGGUGGCGAGUGGCGAACGGGUGAGUAAUAUAUCGGAACGUGCCCAGUCGUGGGGAUAACGUAGCGAAAGCUACGCUAAUACCGCAUACGAUCUAUGGAUGAAAGCGGGGGAUCGCAAGACCUCGCGCGAUUGGAGCGGCCGAUAUCAGAUUAGGUAGUUGGUGAGGUAAAGGCUCACCAAGCCAACGAUCUGUAGCUGGUCUGAGAGGACGACCAGCCACACUGGAACUGAGACACGGUCCAGACUCCUACGGGAGGCAGCAGUGGGGAAUUUUUGGACAAUGGACGCAAGUCUGAUCCAGCCAUUCCGCGUGCAGGAUGAAG
Molecule: ribosomal RNA, 383 nt
Filed under: uncultured bacterium
Lineage: Bacteria
Description: bacterial SSU rRNA
Rfam family: Bacterial small subunit ribosomal RNA
Source: RNAcentral